CGAGGUCGGCGCCCCGGACUCCCAUCGUGAUGCUUCCUCUGCUCCUGGUGCCCCGGAUGCCCCCCUUCGAGACAGCCGGUCCGACCGACGGCAAAGGAAGAAAACUCGUGCUGAGAAACGAAAGUCGGUCGCCGCCUCCUUGGUGAAGGACUCGGUCCAAAUUGAGGACUUGGACGCUUCUGAGAACAGCCCUGGUGCCAGCCACUCUAACAUUCCGUCGGACGGGACCUUCGACCGCUUCUUUGCGUCUUCGUCGGGAGGCGGGCAUUUUGAAGACGGGCACCUCAAGGCUGUCAUGAA
This 300-nucleotide long non-coding RNA is filed under the name Zostera marina. Its description in RNAcentral is "long non-coding RNA (ZMAR_LNC001803)". Lineage: Eukaryota; Viridiplantae; Streptophyta; Magnoliopsida; Alismatales; Zosteraceae. The record is from RNAcentral.